Molecule: long non-coding RNA, 3873 nt
Filed under: Lathyrus oleraceus (garden pea)
Lineage: Eukaryota; Viridiplantae; Streptophyta; Magnoliopsida; Fabales; Fabaceae
Description: Pisum sativum (pea) long non-coding RNA (PSAT_LNC037861)
Source: RNAcentral
CAAGAAAUAAGAAGAUUGUUAGUGUUAUUAGUGUUCUUGUUUUGCUAAAUUUUGUAUAUUGUUAUCAAGAAAUGAGAAGAUUGAUAGUUUUAUUAGUGUUCUUGUUUUGCUAAAUUUUGUAUAUUGUUAUCAAGAAAUGAGAAGGUUGAUAAUGUUAUUAGUGUUCUUGUUUUGCUAAUUUUUGUAUAUUGUCAUCAAGAAAUGAGAAGAUUGAUAGUGUUAUUAGUGUUCUUGUUAUCAAGAAACAUUUGACGCUGACCCUUUACCAAAAUCUCCCAAAAAUGAAAGGCAUUGCCAUGGGGAAUUCUCCAUGGCUUCUGUUAGUCAAAUAAGGAUAUGGAAGAUAACAACUAGGUCGAUGUAAGCCAUGACGCACUGUUCGUUGGAAUUUAUGAUGGCUUCAAAGGCCACACCGCUGCUUCCUAAAUCCGUACGCACAUCUUUAGGACUCUAUUACGUGAGUUAUUUUUUUGCUUCUUUUUUCUUAGCAUACUUACCUGUAUAUUCUUAUCAAGAAAUGAGAAGAUUGAUAGUGUUGUUAGAGUUCUUGUUUUGCUAAGUUUUGUAUAUUGUUAUAAAGAAAUGAGAAGAUUGAUAGUGUUAUUAGUGUUCUUGUUUUGCUAAAUUUUGUAUAUUGUUAUCAAGAAAUGAGAAGAUCGAUAGUGAUAUUAGUGUUCUUGUUUUGCUAAAUUUUGUAUAUUGCUAUAAAAAAUUUGAAGAUCGAUAGUGUUAUUAGUGUUCUUGUUUUGCUAAAUUUUGUAUAUUGUUAUCAAGAAAUGAAAAGAUUGAGUAGUGGUUAUUAGUGUUCUUGUUUUGUAAAUUUUGUAUAUUGUAUCAAGAAUGAGAAGAUUGCAGUGUUAUUAGUGUUCUUGUUUGCUAAAUUUUGUAUAUUGUUAUCAAGAAAUGAGAAGAUUGAUAGUGUUAUUAGUGUUCUUGUUUUGCUAAAUUUUGUAUAUUGUUAUCAAGAAAUGAAGAAGAUUGAUAGUGUAAUUAGUGUUCUUGUUUUGCUAAAUUUUUAUAUUGUUAUCAAGAAAUGAGAAGUGUCGAUAGUGUUAUUAGUGUUCUUGUUUUCCUAAUUUUGUAUAUUCUUUAAGAAUGAGAAGAUUGAUAGUCUUAUUAUGUUCUUGUUUCGCUAAUUUUUGUAUAUGUUAUCAAGAAAUGAGAAGAUUGAUAGUGUUAUUAGUGUUUUGUUUUGCUAAUUUUGUAUAUUGUUGUCAAGAAUGAGAAGAUUGAUAUGUUAUAGUGUUCUUGUUUUCUAAUUUUGUAUAUUGUUAUCAAGAAAUGAGAAGAUCGAUAGUGUAUUAGUGUUCUGUUUUGCUAAAUUUUGUAUAUUGCUAUAAGAAAUAGAAGAUCGAUAGUGUUAUUAGUGUUCUUGUUUGCUAAUUUUGUUUAUAUUGUUAUCAAAAAUGAGAAGAUUGAUAGUGUUAUUAGUGUUCUGUUUUUGCUAAAUUUUUGUAUAUGUUAUCAAGAAAUGAGAAGUGAUAAUGUUAUUAGUGUUCUUGUUUUGCCUAAAUUUUGUAUAUUCUUAUCAAGAAAUGAGAAGAUUGAUAGUCUGUUAUAGUGUUCUUGUUUGCUAAUUUGUAUAUUCUUGUCAAGAAAUGAGAAGAUUGAUAGUGUUAUUAGUGUUUUGUUUUGCUAAUUUUGUAUAUUGUUAUCAAAAAUGAGAAAGAGAUUUAGUGUUAUUAGUGGUUCUUGUUUUGCUAAAUUUUGUAUAUUGUUAUCAAGAAAUGAGAAGAUUGUAGUGUAUUAGUGUUCUUGUUUUGCUAAAUUUUGUAUAUUGUUAUCAAGACAAUGAGAAGGUCGAUAGUGUUAUUAGUUGUUUUUGUUUCUCCUCUAUUUUGUAUUUUGAAUAGAUAGAUUCGAUAGAUAAGUUAUGUCUUAUUAGUGUUCUUGUUCGCUAAUUUUUGAUAUUUGUCAAAGAAAUGAGAAGAUUGAUAGUGUUAUUAGUUUCUUGUUUUGCUAAAUUUGUCGUUAGUUGGUUGUAUAUAGAUUAAUUGAGAAGAUUGAUAUGUUAUCAGUGUCUGUGUUGUUGCUAAUUUGGGUAUAUUGUUUCAAGAAUAGCAAGAUGAUAGUUUUAUUAGUGUUUCUUGUUUCUAAUUUUGUAUAUUGCUAUAUAAAUUGAAGAUCGAUGUGUUAUUAGUGUUCUUGUUUUGCUAAUUUUCUAGUAUGUUCAAAGAAAUGAAAAGAUUGAUAGUGUUAUUAGUGUUCUUGUUUUGCUAAAUUUUGUAUAUUGUUAUCAAAGAAAUGAGAAGAUUGAUAGUGUUAUUAGUGUUCUUGUUUUGCGUAAAUUUUGUAUAUUUGUUAUCAAGGAAUGAGAAGAUUGAUUAGUGUUUUAUUAGUGUUCUGUUUUGGCUAAAUUUUGUAUAUUGUUUAUUUCAACUGAAUGGAAGAUUGAUAGGGUUUUUAGUGUUUUGUUUUGCUAAGUUUUGUAUAUUGGUUAUCAUGCAAUACGAGAAGAUGAUAGUGUUAUUAGUGUUCUUGGUUUUGCUAAAUUUUGUAUAUUGUUAUCCAAGAAAUAGAAGAUUGAUAGUGUUAUUAGUGUUCUUGUUUUUCGCUAAGUUUUGUAUAUUGUUAUAAAAAAAUGAGAAGAUUGAUAGUGAUAUUAGUGUUCUUGUUUUUGCUAAAAUUUUGUAUAUUGUAUCAAGAAAUGAGAAGUUGAUAGUGUUAUUAGUGUUCUUGUUUGCUAAAUUUUGUAUAUUGUUAUCAAAAUGAGAAGAUUGAUAGUGUUAUUAGUGUUCUUGUUAUCAAGAGAACAUUUUAAUGCUGACCUUUACCAACAAUCUCCCAAAAAUGAAAGGAUUGCCAUGGCGGAAUUCUCCAUUGGCUUCUUUUAGUCAAAUAGAGAUAUUGGAAAUCACAACUAGGAGCGAUGUAAGCCAUGACGCACUGUUCGUUGGAAUUUUAUGAUGGUUCAAAGGCCCCACCCGCUGCUUCCUAUAUCCGUACGCACAUCUUUAGGACUCUCAGUUACGUAGUUUGAUUUUUUUGGCUUCUUUUUGCUUAGGCAUACUUACCUGUUUAUCUUAUAAGAAAUGAAAGAUUGAUAGAUGUUAUUAGAGUUCUUGUUUUGCUAAAAUUGUGUAUAUUGUUAUCAAGAAAUAGAAGAUUGAUGUGUUAUUAGUGUUCUAGUUUGGCUAAAUUUGUAUAUUGCUUAUACGAAAUGAGAAGAUUGAUAGUGUUUAUCUAGUGUUCUUUUUUUUGCUAGAUUUAGGUAUAUUGUUAUCAAGAAAUGAGAAGAUUGAUAGUGUUAUUAGUGUUCUUGUUUUGCUAAAUUUUGUAUAUUGUUAUCAAGAAAUGAGAAGGUCGAUAGUGUUAUUAGUGUUCUUGUUUUCCUAAAUUUUGUAUAUUAUUAUCAAGAAAUGAGAAGAUUGAUAGACUUAUUAGUGUUCUUGUUUCGCUAAUUUUGUAUAUUCUUGUCAAGAAAUGAGAAGAUUGAUAGUGUUAUUAGCGUUCUUGUUUUGCUAAAUUUUGUAUAUUGUUGUCAAGAAAUGAGAAGAUUGAUAAUGUUAUCAGUGUUCUUGUUUUGCUAAGUUUUGUAUAUUGUUAUCAAGAAAUAUGAAGAUCGAUAGUGUUAUUAGUGUUCUUGUUUUGCUAAAUUUUGUAUAUUGCUAUAAAAAAUUAGAAGAUCGAUAGUGUUAUUAGUGUUCUUGUUUUGCUAAAUUUUCUAUAUUGUUAUCAAGAAAUGAAAAGAUUGAUAGUGUUAUUAGUGUUCUUGUUUUGCUAAAUUUUGUAUAUUGUUAUCAAAAAAUGAGAAGAUUGAUAGUGUUAUUAGUGUUCUUGUUUUGCUAAAUUUUGUAUAUUGUUAUCAAGGAAUGAGAAGAUUGAUAGUGUUAUUAGUGUUCUUGUUUUGCUAAAUUUUGUAUAUUGUUAUCA